This 253-nucleotide ribosomal RNA is filed under the name uncultured bacterium. RNAcentral describes it as "partial 16S ribosomal RNA". It matches the Rfam family "Bacterial small subunit ribosomal RNA", at positions 524 to 776 of the family's 1533-position model. The record is from RNAcentral.
UACGAAGGGGGCUAGCGUUGCUCGGAAUCACUGGGCGUAAAGCGCACGUAGGCGGGUUCUUAAGUCAGAGGUGAAAUCCUGGAGCUCAACUCCAGAACUGCCUUUGAUACUGAGGAUCUCGAGUUCGGGAGAGGUGAGUGGAACUGCGAGUGUAGAGGUGAAAUUCGUAGAUAUUCGCAAGAACACCAGUGGCGAAGGCGGCUCACUGGCCCGGUACUGACGCUGAGGUGCGAAAGCGUGGGGAGCAAACAGG